GUCGAGCGGUAGCACAGAGAGCUUGCUCUCGGGUGACGAGCGGCGGACGGGUGAGUAAUGUCUGGGAAACUGCCUGAUGGAGGGGGAUAACUACUGGAAACGGUAGCUAAUACCGCAUAACGUCGCAAGACCAAAGUGGGGGACCUUCGGGCCUCAUGCCAUCAGAUGUGCCCAGAUGGGAUUAGCUAGUAGGUGGGGUAACGGCUCACCUAGGCGACGAUCCCUAGCUGGUCUGAGAGGAUGACCAGCCACACUGGAACUGAGACACGGUCCAGACUCCUACGGGAGGCAGCAGUGGGGAAUAUUGCACAAUGGGCGCAAGCCUGAUGCAGCCAUGCCGCGUGUGUGAAGAAGGCCUUCGGGUUGUAAAGCACUUUCAGCGGGGAGGAAGGCGGUGAGGUUAAUAACCUUGGCGAUUGACGUUACCCGCAGAAGAAGCACCGGCUAACUCCGUGCCAGCAGCCGCGGUAAUACGGAGGGUGCAAGCGUUAAUCGGAAUUACUGGGCGUAAAGCGCACGCAGGCGGUCUGUCAAGUCGGAUGUGAAAUCCCCGGGCUCAACCUGGGAACUGCAUUCGAAACUGGCAGGCUAGAGUCUUGUAGAGGGGGUAGAAUUCCAGGUGUAGCGGUGAAAUGCGUAGAGAUCUGGAGGAAUACCGGUGGCGAAGGCGGCCCCCUGGACAAAGACUGACGCUCAGGUGCGAAAGCGUGGGGAGCAAACAGGAUUAGAUACCCUGGUAGUCCACGCCGUAAACGAUGUCGAUUUGGAGGUUGUGCCCUUGAGGCGUGGCUUCCGGAGCUAACGCGUUAAAUCGACCGCCUGGGGAGUACGGCCGCAAGGUUAAAACUCAAAUGAAUUGACGGGGGCCCGCACAAGCGGUGGAGCAUGUGGUUUAAUUCGAUGCAACGCGAAGAACCUUACCUGGUCUUGACAUCCACAGAACUUUCCAGAGAUGGAUUGGUGCCUUCGGGAACUGUGAGACAGGUGCUGCAUGGCUGUCGUCAGCUCGUGUUGUGAAAUGUUGGGUUAAGUCCCGCAACGAGCGCAACCCUUAUCCUUUGUUGCCAGCGGUUAGGCCGGGAACUCAAAGGAGACUGCCAGUGAUAAACUGGAGGAAGGUGGGGAUGACGUCAAGUCAUCAUGGCCCUUACGACCAGGGCUACACACGUGCUACAAUGGCAUAUACAAAGAGAAGCGACCUCGCGAGAGCAAGCGGACCUCAUAAAGUAUGUCGUAGUCCGGAUUGGAGUCUGCAACUCGACUCCAUGAAGUCGGAAUCGCUAGUAAUCGUAGAUCAGAAUGCUACGGUGAAUACGUUCCCGGGCCUUGUACACACCGCCCGUCACACCAUGGGAGUGGGUUGCAAAAGAAGUAGGUAGCUUAACCUUCGGGAGGGCGCUUA
This 1402-nucleotide ribosomal RNA is filed under the name Klebsiella pneumoniae. RNAcentral describes it as "bacterial SSU rRNA". It matches the Rfam family "Bacterial small subunit ribosomal RNA". Lineage: Bacteria; Pseudomonadati; Pseudomonadota; Gammaproteobacteria; Enterobacterales; Enterobacteriaceae. The record is from RNAcentral.